GUUUUAAUAGUUUAAAAAAAACAAUGAUUUUGUAAAUCAUAAAUAGGAGCAACCUUUAAAACU
This 63-nucleotide transfer RNA is filed under the name Planusocoris schaeferi. Its description in RNAcentral is "tRNA-Thr". Lineage: Eukaryota; Metazoa; Arthropoda; Insecta; Hemiptera; Alydidae. The record is from RNAcentral.